This 181-nucleotide unclassified non-coding RNA is filed under the name uncultured Ramariopsis. Its description in RNAcentral is "sequence contains ITS1". The record is from RNAcentral. Lineage: Eukaryota; Fungi; Basidiomycota; Agaricomycetes; Agaricales; Clavariaceae.
UUGAAAAAUCCUUAGGAUGUUGCUGGCCUUUCGGGGCAUGUGCACUCCGCCUUUUCAAUUCACCUGUGAACUCAUUGUAGGCUCAGAUGUAAAAAGUCUGAUGUCUAUGUUUUUUUAUAUACCCCUUUAAAAAGUUUAACAGAAUGUCUAAUAGACCUUAUGGUCGAAAUAUAAAUUAAUA